GAUGAAGAACGCAGCGAAAUGCGAUAAGUAAUGUGAAUUGCAGAAUUCAGUGAAUCAUCGAAUCUUUGAACGCACAUUGCGCCCCCUGGUAUUCCGGGGGGCAUGCCUGUUCGAGCGUCAUUUCACCACUCAAGCCUCGCUUGGUAUUGGGCAACGCGGUCCGCCGCGUGCCUCAAAUCGACCGGCUGGGUCUUCUGUCCCCUAAGCGUUGUGGAAACUAUUCGCUAAAGGGUGUUCGGGAGGCUACACCGUAAAACAACCCCAUUUCUAAGGUUGACCUCGGAUCAGGUAGGGAUACCCGCUGAACUUAAGCAUAUCAAUAAGCGGAGGA
Molecule: unclassified non-coding RNA, 331 nt
Filed under: soil metagenome
Description: partial contains 5.8S ribosomal RNA, internal transcribed spacer 2, and large subunit ribosomal RNA
Rfam family: 5.8S ribosomal RNA (bases 1-120)
Source: RNAcentral